GAUCGGAAGCGAGAAUGUUGACAUGAGUAGCGACAAACAGGGUGAGAGACCCUGUCGCCGAAAGUCCAAGGGUUCCUGCUUAAAGCUAAUCUGAGCAGGGUAAGCCGGCCCCUAAGGCGAGGCCGAAAGGCGUAGUCGAUGGGAACCAGGUUAAUAUUCCUGGGCCAGGAGGAUGUGACGGAUCUCGACGGUAGUUUGCCCUUAUCGGAUUGGGUGAGCUGCUUAGAGGUUCCUGGAAAUAGCCCUCCACAAGACCGUACCCCAAACCGACACAGGUGGACUGGUAGAGAAUACCAAGGCGCUUGAGAGAACCACAUCAAAGGAACUCGGCAAAAUGCUCCCGUAAGUUCGCGAGAAGGGAGCCCCGUCUGUAGGCAACUAUGGGCGGGGGGCACAAACCAGGGGGUGGCGACUGUUUACUUAAAACACAGGGCUGUGCGAAGCCGUAAGGCGACGUAUACAGUCUGACGCCUGCCCGGUGCUGGAAGGUUAAAAGGAGGGGUGCAAGCUCUGAAUUGAAGCCCCAGUAAACGGCGGCCGUAACUAUAACGGUCCUAAGGUAGCGAAAUUCCUUGUCGGGUAAGUUCCGACCUGCACGAAUGGCGUAACGAUCUCCCCGCUGUCUCUGAUGUGGACUCAGCGAAAUUGAACUGUGUGUCAAGAUGCACACUUCCCGCGGUUAGACGGAAAGACCCCAUGAACCUUUACUCCAGCUUUGCACUGGCAUCAGGAUUGUGAUGUGCAGGAUAGGUGGUAGGCAUCGAAGCAGAGGCGCCAGUUUCUGUGGAGCCUCCCUUGAGAUACCACCCUUCGCACUCUUGAUGUCUAACCGCGGCCCGUUAUCCGGGUCCGGGACCAUGCAUGGUGGGGAGUUUGACUGGGGCGGUCGCCUCCCAAACAGUAACGGAGGCGCGCGAAGGUUGGCUCAGAGCGGUCGGAAAUCGCUCGUUGAGUGCAAUGGCAGAAGCCAGCCUGACUGCAAGACUGACAAGUCGAGCAGAGACGAAAGUCGGCCAUAGUGAUCCGGUGGUCCCAAGUGGGAGGGCCAUCGCUCAACGGAUAAAAGGUACUCUGGGGAUAACAGGCUGAUGAUGCCCAAGAGUCCAUAUCGACGGCAUCGUUUGGCACCUCGAUGUCGGCUCAUCUCAUCCUGGGGCUGGAGCAGGUCCCAAGGGUAUGGCUGUUCGCCAUUUAAAGAGGUACGUGAGCUGGGUUUAGAACGUCGUGAGACAGUUCGGUCCCUAUCUGCCGUGGGUGUAGGAGACUUGAGAAGAGUUGCCCCUAGUACGAGAGGACCGGGGUGAACGUUCCACUGGUGGACCAGUUGUCGUGCCAACGGCAGUGCUGGGUAGCUAUGAACGGACAGGAUAACCGCUGAAGGCAUCUAAGCGGGAAGCCCCCUUCAAAACAAGGUCUCCCUUGAGAGCCGUGGAAG
This 1435-nucleotide ribosomal RNA is filed under the name metagenome. Its description in RNAcentral is "bacterial LSU rRNA". It matches the Rfam family "Bacterial large subunit ribosomal RNA", at positions 1280 to 2843 of the family's 2925-position model. The record is from RNAcentral.